GGAUAUUGGUCAAUGGGGGAAACCCUGAACCAGCAACGCCGCGUGAGGGAAGACGGUUUUCGGAUUGUAAACCUCUGUCCUCUGUGAAGAUAAUGACGGUAGCAGAGGAGGAAGCUCCGGCUAACUACGUGCCAGCAGCCGCGGUAAUACGUAGGGAGCAAGCGUUGUCCGGAUUUAUUGGGUUUAAAGGGUGCGUAGGCGGGCUGUUAAGUCAGCGGUCAAAUGUCGGGGCUCAACCCCGGCCUGCCGUUGAAACUGGCGGCCUCGAGUGGGCGAGAAGUAUGCGGAAUGCGUGGUGUAGCGGUGAAAUGCAUAGGUAUCACGCAGAACUCCGAUUGCGAAGGCAGCAUACCGGCGCCCUACUGACGCUGAGGCACGAAAGCGUGGGUAUCGAACAG
Molecule: ribosomal RNA, 398 nt
Filed under: uncultured bacterium
Lineage: Bacteria
Description: bacterial SSU rRNA
Rfam family: Bacterial small subunit ribosomal RNA
Source: RNAcentral